RNAcentral lists this ribosomal RNA (305 nucleotides) under uncultured bacterium. RNAcentral describes it as "bacterial SSU rRNA". It matches the Rfam family "Bacterial small subunit ribosomal RNA", at positions 335 to 638 of the family's 1533-position model. The record is from RNAcentral.
CGUCCUACGGGACGCAGCAGUGAGGAAUAUUGGUCAAUGGGCGCGAGCCUGAACCAGCCAAGUCGCGUGAGGGAAGACGGUCCUAUGGAUUGUGAACCUCUUUUGUCGGGGAGCAAAAGACGCCACGCGUGGCGUUCCGAGAGUACCCGAAGAAAAAGCAUCGGCUAACUCCGGGCCAGCAGCCGCGGUAAUACGGAGGAUGCGAGCGUUAUCCGGAUUUAUUGGGUUUAAAGGGUGCGCAGGCGGAAGAGCAAGGCAGCGGUAAAAUUGAGAGGCUCAAACUCUUCGAGCCGUUGAAACUGGUU